Molecule: ribosomal RNA, 645 nt
Filed under: Escherichia coli
Lineage: Bacteria; Pseudomonadati; Pseudomonadota; Gammaproteobacteria; Enterobacterales; Enterobacteriaceae
Description: partial 23S ribosomal RNA
Rfam family: Bacterial large subunit ribosomal RNA
Source: RNAcentral
UGGUGGGUAGUUUGACUGGGGCGGUCUCCUCCUAAAGAGUAACGGAGGAGCACGAAGGUUGGCUAAUCCUGGUCGGACAUCAGGAGGUUAGUGCAAUGGCAUAAGCCAGCUUGACUGCGAGCGUGACGGCGCGAGCAGGUGCGAAAGCAGGUCAUAGUGAUCCGGUGGUUCUGAAUGGAAGGGCCAUCGCUCAACGGAUAAAAGGUACUCCGGGGAUAACAGGCUGAUACCGCCCAAGAGUUCAUAUCGACGGCGGUGUUUGGCACCUCGAUGUCGGCUCAUCACAUCCUGGGGCUGAAGUAGGUCCCAAGGGUAUGGCUGUUCGCCAUUUAAAGUGGUACGCGAGCUGGGUUUAGAACGUCGUGAGACAGUUCGGUCCCUAUCUGCCGUGGGCGCUGGAGAACUGAGGGGGGCUGCUCCUAGUACGAGAGGACCGGAGUGGACGCAUCACUGGUGUUCGGGUUGUCAUGCCAAUGGCACUGCCCGGUAGCUAAAUGCGGAAGAGAUAAGUGCUGAAAGCAUCUAAGCACGAAACUUGCCCCGAGAUGAGUUCUCCCUGACUCCUUGAGAGUCCUGAAGGAACGUUGAAGACGACGACGUUGAUAGGCCGGGUGUGUAAGCGCAGCGAUGCGUUGAGCUAACCGG